This is a non-coding RNA of Pelobates cultripes (western spadefoot toad), 218 nucleotides long. The record is from the annotation of a GenBank genome assembly. NCBI's taxonomy places the organism in Eukaryota, Metazoa, Chordata, Amphibia, Anura, Pelobatidae.
GGUGAAGGCAGCACACCUAAACGGGUUAGUCUCUCCCAAAAACCCAAAAUAAAUAACAGUAAUACAGAAUGCAACAGAACCCCUGUUAUUGCCUGGAAACCCUAGCCCAACUGUGUGCACAAAACCCCCUUUUUCAGUCCCUAUAUUUGCCUCAUGGCACUGAGAACAAAAACCAUUUGUUUAUUUGCAUUCACCCAAAGUGACUGAUCGUGUAUUUG